GAUAAGUGCUGAAAGCAUCUAAGCACGAAACUUGCCCCGAGAUGAGUUCUCCCUGAGACUAUAAGUCUCCUGAAGGAACGUUGAAGACGACGACGUUGAUAGGCCGGGUGUGUAAGCGCAGCGAUGCGUUGAGCUAACCGGUACUAAUGAACCGUGAGGCUUAACCUUACAACGCCGAAG
RNAcentral lists this ribosomal RNA (180 nucleotides) under Salmonella enterica. Its description in RNAcentral is "partial 23S ribosomal RNA". It matches the Rfam family "Bacterial large subunit ribosomal RNA", at positions 2763 to 2925 of the family's 2925-position model. Lineage: Bacteria; Pseudomonadati; Pseudomonadota; Gammaproteobacteria; Enterobacterales; Enterobacteriaceae. The record is from RNAcentral.